AGAGUUUGAUCCUGGCUCAGGACGAACGCUGGCGGCGUGCCUAACACAUGCAAGUCGAACGGAGUUGAGCCCUUCGGGACUUAACUUAGUGGCGAACGGGUGAGUAACGCGUGAGGAACCUGCCUUUCAGUGGGGGACAACAGUUGGAAACGACUGCUAAUACCGCAUGAAGCUUUUGGGGGACAUCCCCUGGAAGCCAAAGCUUAAUGUGCUGAAAGAUGGCCUCGCGUCUGAUUAGCUAGUUGGUGGGGUGACGGCCCACCAAGGCGACGAUCAGUAGCCGGUCUGAGAGGAUGAACGGCCACAUUGGGACUGAGAUACGGCCCAGACUCCCUACGGGAGGCAGCAGUGGGGGAAUAUUGGGCAAUGGGCGAAAGCUUGACCCAGCAACGCCCGCGUGAAGGAAGAAGGCUUUCGGGUUGUAAACUUCUUUUACCAGGGACGAAGGACGUGACGGUACCUGGAGAAAAAGCAACGGCUAACUACGUGCCAGCAGCCGCGGUAAUACGUAGGUUGCAAGCGUUGUCCGGAUUUACUGGGUGUAAAGGGCGUGUAGGCGGAGAUGCAAGUUAGGAGUGAAAUCUAUGGGCUCAACCCAUAAACUGCUUCUAAAACUGUAUCCCUUGAGUAUCGGAGAGGCAAGCGGAAUUCCUAGUGUAGCGGUGAAAUGCGUAGAUAUUAGGAGGAACACCAGUGGCGAAGGCGGCUUGCUGGACGACAACUGACGCUGAGGCGCGAAAGCGUGGGGAGCAAACAGGAUUAGAUACCCUGGUAGUCCACGCUGUAAACGAUGAAUACUAGGUGUGGGGGGACUGACCCCCUCCGUGCCGCAGUUAACACAAUAAGUAUUCCACCUGGGGAGUACGACCGCAAGGUUGAAACUCAAAGGAAUUGACGGGGGCCCGCACAAGCAGUGGAUUAUGUGGUUUAAUUCGACGCAACGCGAAGAACCUUACCAGGACUUGACAUCCAACUAACGAAGUAGAGAUACAUCAGGUGCCCUUCGGGGAAAGUUGAGACAGGUGGUGCAUGGUUGUCGUCAGCUCGUGUCGUGAGAUGUUGGGUUAAGUCCCGCAACGAGCGCAACCCCUAUUGUUAGUUGCUACGAAAGAGCACUCUAGCGAGACUGCCGUUGACAAAACGGAGGAAGGCGGGGACGACGUCAAAUCAUCAUGCCCCUUAUGUCCUGGGCUACACACGUAAUACAAUGGUGGCCAACAGAGGGAAGCAAAGCCGCGAGGUGGAGCAAAUCCCUAAAAGCCAUCUCAGUUCGGAUUGCAGGCUGCAACUCGCCUGCAUGAAGCUGGAAUUGCUAGUAAUCGCGGAUCAGCAUGCCGCGGUGAAUACGUUCCCGGGCCUUGCACACACCGCCCGUCA
Molecule: ribosomal RNA, 1377 nt
Filed under: uncultured bacterium
Lineage: Bacteria
Description: bacterial SSU rRNA
Rfam family: Bacterial small subunit ribosomal RNA
Source: RNAcentral